This 313-nucleotide ribosomal RNA is filed under the name Hydnum orientalbidum. RNAcentral's name for it is "partial 28S ribosomal RNA". It matches the Rfam family "Eukaryotic large subunit ribosomal RNA", at positions 1 to 302 of the family's 3401-position model. The record is from RNAcentral. Lineage: Eukaryota; Fungi; Basidiomycota; Agaricomycetes; Cantharellales; Hydnaceae.
UUCUGACCUCGAAUCAGGUGGGACUACCCGCUGAACUUAAGCAUAUCAAUAAGCGGAGGAAAAGAAACUAACAAGGAUUCCCCUAGUAACGGCGAGUGAAGUGGGAUGAGCUCAAAUUUAAAAUCUGGUAGUCUUUGGCUGCCCGAGUUGUAAUCUAGAGAAGUGUUUUCUGUGCUGGACUGUGUUCAAGUUUCCUGGAUAUGGAACAUCAUAGAGGGUGAGAAUCCCGUCCUUGACACAGAUUCCCUAGUGCUCUGUGAUGCACUCUCAACGAGUCGAGUUGUUUGGGAUUGCAGCUCAAAAUGGGAGGUAA